GGAUGGCCUUUAUUUAGCAGGAGCCCAAGCGCAGCCGAGCCCGGGUCUCGGUGGCACCUGGCAGCGUGUUGCGCCCUCCGCGGCGUCUCCACCGCUGAUGCAACCCCGGCUGCGGCGGCGAUGGCAGAGUGCCCUGAGAAGGCUCUAGCCCUCUCCCUACCCUCUUACUUCAUGGCAUCGCUCUUCCCCCCUCCCACCGUCAGGGCAGGACCUGCUGCACCCACUGGCUCCUCGGCGUGCGUAAUGGGCUGACAUUAUCUCCCCGGGUCACUCCGCUUUGGAGGAUUACCUCACUGAGAAAACAGGCACCGGCAUGCACACUCGUGCACACCCAUCUCAUGCAAACAGAUCCACCCGCACAGGAACAGGCAGCAGCACAGGAAGGUGCACCACAGGCCAGGCGAUAAAGGGGUGAACCAGAGCAGAGUGGACUGAAAAGAAGGCAGCCAGCAAGAUAACCCAGGGAACUGCAAGGAGUCAUCUGGCUCGCAUAACCUCUGUGCUUUCACCUGCUCCACCCCUGACGGCCGCUCAGCUGCGCAUCUGGCAGCACCUGGCCAAAGACCAAACCUUGAUCCCCCUCCUCACUAGAAAAUUGCUCCGUGUGCUGAGAAGUGAUGAAAAAGGAUCCUCCUGGCCCUGCACUCUGCCUUGCCACCUCCCAGGGCUGCGCCAGGCAGAGCUGCUGACAGAUGCAGAGACAGCACCAAGCCUUCCUCCUGCCCGGACUGCCUGCCCUUGGCUCCUGCACCCACCGAAGCUCUUAGCAAUGAGCUCACCCCUCUAUUAUUGCUGAUCCAGGAGUCUGGAGGCUCUCGGAAGCAUGGUAUCGAUCCCUGCCUCUUACACGUCCCCCCCAGGGCUGCAGUUUCAGGAAAGCUCUUUGCCUCUCCCCGCUCUGCCUCUCCUUCGCAGCCUCCAGGAACGCGCUUCCAGGGGGAGCUUGGAGCUGGGGGCCAGGACCGUGGUGAGAGGGAUGGGGGCUAAGCCUGGCCUCUGUGCUUUGGCUGUCCAUGUGCUGGGAAAAGACACAGUGGGCAUUUCAUAAACUCAAAAGAAGGUGCAAUCUCCCCCUUCCCAGGGGGUUACGGGUGGAGGACCCCUGGUGCCCUGCAUGGGACCCAGCCCCGUGUGGUCUCUGGUCAUGGACAGCAUGGACUUUGUGAAGGCAAUGUGCCCGAGGUCUCUUUUCUGUCCUCCCUCUACCAAGCUUGCAGAGGUGCUGGUGUGACUUGUGCCAGCCAGGAAGCAGGUGACAGCAGUGCCCCUGUGCAAACUCAGCCAGCGGCACUCACAAACAAGCUGGCUCAUCUGCCGGGCAGCACUCGCUUAUGGCAAUGAUCAACUCAGCAGCAUCCUGCUGCCUCUAGAGGGAAAUCCUACUGUGGUGAGGGAGAGGCAGCAGGGCAGGGGAUGCUGCUACUUCUCGUCCUACCCGGACACUCUCCCUUGGAGGGCAGACAGGGGCUCAGCCUGUUUGUGGGGACUUUUGCCUUGCAGACGGGAGUUUUGUGAACGCUGCCAGCACCAUGCCAGAGCAAAUAACCCCACUCCGCACCCCAAAGGCUGCUUCUCCCACCUGUUCAGGUCCACUUUGCACAUGCAGCCAGGUGCCACCAUGAGGAACCGCAAGGCGGUCAAAAGAGGCUGGUAGAGCUACAGCCAGGAACCAGGGCUCCUUGCCUUGCUAUGACACAAACAGUUUGCAGCCCAGCCCCUUACCAAAUGGGCUGCCUCACUCCCCCCACAUUCCCAGGAAGACUUUCAGGUGCCUGGGUAUGCUUCAUAAAUGACUAAUGAGCCUUGCAAACAUUAGUGCUCUGCCGGCUGCCAGAAGCAGACUGAGAUCAAGCCCUCCCUUGCGUCCAUCAGCUCCACCCAGGAAGCAGACUUGCCUUUGACAACAACCACAAUAAGAAGCAGGCAGCCAACGAAACCCACAGUGCCCUGAGCAGGAGAGCUGUGAUGCUUGCAUCACAGGAAGGGAGAUGGAGAUGGAGAAAACCUCCUGGGAAGGGGUGACUGUCCAUGAAGGAGAAAACCUUGUACCUGGCACCAGCCACCUUCACACUGGUCCUUGAAUCACAGCUGUGGUUUCUCCCUGGAGGCAGGUUUGGGCUCGCAUGGGGAAGUCUCUCAUUUUUGGGGUGGACUUGCAGACAACAGCCUGUGGAGUGGGCAGAGGAAAUCUCCAUGCUCAAAACCAGAGUUUUUCCUUUUAAAAUUGCUCCCGCGGCUCUGGUUUGCAGAUGGGAUGCAGGAGUAGAUGCUUGAUCUCCUAGAAGGACCAACAGGUGGACUUCUGUACCCCAAGAAGAUAUACUCCAAGGACUUAUUUCAGCUGAUCUCACACAUACGAGCGAUAGCCCUCCAGUAACAACCCGUGGUGUCUGCUCUAGGUGGCGGUUCUCUCAUGGCACCACUGGAUCCCCUUACAUUUGAGGAACUUGCCCUGGACAAAGAGGUCUUGCCCUCAUCCUACCCGCCUGCAUUUCAAGCACAUUAGCACAUUUUUGUGUGCGUGGGUCAGAAUUUAGCUGACUCCUGGCACUUAUUGCCCUCACAGCUCUGAGUCAAAGGAGGAAGAGGACAGGUCACCUUCCACUGCUGAUACUACAAAGUAGGCAUGAAAUAAGCCUGACCUUCGUGUACUGCAUUUGCUGGAGAAAUCAACACUUCCUAUACAUAGAAAAAUCAAUGAAAAGUGACUUACCAAAUGAAUCCCUACUGAUCUUGGCCCAGGACAAAACCUCCUACAUCAAGAGGGCCUCACACAGCCACCUUCCAAACCCCAAACCAAAGCCUGAACUUCCCUCUGUCAGGCCUAUCUGCCCCCAGCUAGAAACCGUGAGCGACCCUGGCAGAAAUCUUCCUCCCGUGGCUGCAGGAAGGGCUCCUGCUGCUCUGACGGCCAUCAGAUGGUGCCAUUGAGUCUUCUGUGGAAGCCAAGCCCCGAGGAGCGCGGGUUUGCACCAGGGACCAUGUUGGCUUCUCGCUCCAUCUCGCCCACUUCCAAAAAAAAGACCAAGCGAAGAGAUUUUUCUAGCAUAGUAAAGCAAAUGUGUUUUUUCUGCUGUUGCCAACGAUGUUAGCAAGCACCCAUGUCACUGUUAUUAGUGGGUUUUGCACCAGUCUUGCAAGACAGGGUAUAUUCUUGCAGCUGGACUCUAGUGAUGCCAGGAUAGGAGCAAGUGAUAGCAGUUUAGGAGCAUUUUGGCCUCAGUUUCCCCAAAACAAGGUGUGUUUACUACUGGAAAGAUUUAGAAAAGAGGAAUUGAGAUCAAGCCGAGCAGAAAUGAAAGAGGAGCAGCGUUAGCAAAAGCUCCCUUUCGCAGUGAUGUGGGAUGUGGGACGUGCUCAGGCAGUCCUAGAGAGCUCCCGUUUGGGGUGAGCUCCUGGCCACCUCCCCCUGCUUCUUCCCUUUUUGUUUUUAGCACAGCAUACAAAACAAGGAGAGGAGGGUUGUGCAUCAGGGCACGCUGCUCGCAGUGCUCUCAUCACAUCUGAUGUCUCCCCUCCAGACAUGGGGCCGGCAUGUCCCAGGGUUUUGAAUUAAUAAUUCUCUUAGAGGCAGGCUGUGGUUUGCAAUGGCCAGAGCCUGGCACUGCCGUCCAGCUGAGGUCUUUACCUGGCAUUGCAAAUAUGCAGAGAUAAUAACUGAUUACUGCUUUUCCUGGGUUGGCUUUGGGUUUUAAUUGUGUGAGAUGAGAGAGGAGAAAAAAUGCCAGCGAGAUGAGGAAGGCUGGGGAGGAGGGCGAGGAGAAAUCAUUACAAUUGCAUUUAGUCAGUGAUAAGCAUGGCUGCUGAGCCGGGCUGGGUGCUUUCCAAGCACGGUGGGAGCCAGCUUCAAUUUCACAGCAUAAUCUUUCCUGUGGCCUUAAAAUAACUUCUCCCUGCCCCCAGGGUGUCACAGGAGCUGAAGAGCCAUGUGUGCCCCUUCCCUGAGCAGCCCCACGCUCGGCGCUGCCUUAUCAUCACCUGGGGGCUGCUUUGAGAGCGGUCACAUCACACAUGUCACACUGAGACACCGAGCUCUGGGGCAGAAAGGGGACAUUUUGCAGACCUGUGGUCUCCCCAGGAGGGUGGCAGGCUGGGGACAGUUGGCUGUUUGCGCUCGUCUUCAGUGCCAGCAAAAGAGCAGCUUCCCCGAACCACUCGGCAGAGAUGGGACCUCGUCACUGUCGGGGCUAAUUGCUCAUGUGAGACGUAUUUACAGAAGCAACUGUUUGUGCAGAGCAAGGCAGACAAACAGACUCCUGUUCUGCCAGGCACCCUUUGUAAUCGCUGGGGGCUGGGAAUCCUUCCAUGUGGGCAUGGGAGGCCUCGUUUGUACCGCGGGCACCAGUCCUGCACCGGGCUGGAUGGCACUGGCAGGAUGCUGAGCCCCCGUCCUGACUCCCAGACCACCAGGAACGAAGGCCAGGUCCUGGCACAGGAGCUUUGCUGUCCCCACAGCUUGCAAAUUUGGGGGUUCUGCAGAGAUAAAUCCUGCCCUGUAGAAAAAGCAGGUGCAGCUGGGGGGGACACAGCACCAGCCCUCACACCGUGCUCCUUCAAGGAGCCAGAAAGUUGUCCUGUGCCUCUGCAAAUAAUAGCUAAGGCUGCUUGCUUAAAAGCAUCCAAAUAACAGACUGAAAUAAAUCCUUCUGCCCAUUCCUCUGUU
Anas platyrhynchos (mallard) is the source of this 4663-nucleotide long non-coding RNA. RefSeq lists it as uncharacterized. Lineage: Eukaryota; Metazoa; Chordata; Aves; Anseriformes; Anatidae. The record is from RefSeq and is a predicted model, not a curated record.